Molecule: ribosomal RNA, 537 nt
Filed under: Triticum aestivum (bread wheat)
Lineage: Eukaryota; Viridiplantae; Streptophyta; Magnoliopsida; Poales; Poaceae
Description: partial small subunit ribosomal RNA
Source: RNAcentral
AUGGCAACCACCCUCGCCACUGAUGUUCGCCUCUCCAUUGCGCACCAGACCCGCUUCGUCUUCCGCCUCGCCUCCGCUAUCUCAUCCAACCCCAAGUCUACUGUCAACAAUGCCGCAUUCUCUCCGGUCUCCCUCCACGUGGCGCUCAGCCUCAUCACCGCUGGCGCGGGGGGCGCCACCCGCAACCAACUUGCCACGACACUGGGAGAAGGCGAGGUUGAGGGACUCCACACACUCGCUGAGCAGGUGGUGCAGUUCGUCCUCGCCAACGCGUCUAACAUCGGCAGCCCACGCGUCGCCUUCGCCAACGGCGUAUUCGUGGACGCGUCGCUGCAGCUCAAGCCAUCCUUCCAGGAGCUCGCACUGUGCAAGUACAAGGCCGAGGCCCAGUCCGUAGACUUCCAAACUAAGGUGACGAAUUUUCCUGUGAGGCCCGAAGCCCAUCACAGGAAUAUAAAUUUUCCUAACGGGCUAAAUUUGGCUCCCAGGAAAAUUGACUAUUUUCCUGAGAGUCCAGCCCACAGGAAAAAUAUUUGA